GUUUCUAUUAGCUCAGAAUCAUGCUCUGUUUCUCUUCACUGACUAUAAAGGCAGCCUGGGGUGACUGGCUCCCAUGGAGGCCUCCAUCGUGCAGAUGCCUAUGUGAGAAGGGCUCUGGUAAAGGUGAACCAACCCUCCAUAGCUUUGAUAAACUUUGACUGCAUCACACCCUGUUGACUUCUGCUUUGGUGACGCAUGGCAAGUGCAGAAGUACUGGUGGGUCAAGGACAAGUCAUGCUCAGGUGACUCCUGCAGAAUGCUACCACAUCACUCAAGCAAUUCAGGCCAUGCACAGAAGAUGGGCACGCUCCCUUCAUAAGUGCUUAUGUUGGGGAUUUGGUGUCCUCUGCUGAGCACGACCUAUCAUCAGCUUGGCGAUGACAAGGUGCAAAUGUUGGCAACCUGAGCCACAAAUCUUAGGGUCUUUUAACAUAUCUCCAGUGGCCAGCACAAACCAAAUGGAAGAACAACGAGAAGACACAGGCAGCAUGAAAUCCACAGACACAGAGCACUAAACCAAAACACCACCACGCUGCUCACACAGAUGUCAAAACAAAGCACAAGCUCUGGGAUUCAUCUUUUGCCAGUUCAGUGCAAACAGUUUGGCUCACAGAAAUUAAGCGAGGAAGUCUAGCUUCAAACACAGCCAGAGAGUGAGCGGGAAUGUGGAUGACAUCCAGCUCUUUUGAACUUGGUUGAUACUCGGACAAAGAGGGACUGAUGGUCACCCAUGAGCUGUGGAGGACAGUGGCGCUUCCCUGUUCAUUGCCAGGGAGCUGGACCAGAUGACCUUUAAAGGCCGACUCAAGAGCCCUUGCAAGGAGACAUAGUCAAACACAAACUCCUAGCUACCAAAGCUUGAGGAUCAUACAGCAAAAUCCAAGCUGAUAUACCCAGUGGGAUUUAUCAUUUAGGGUUUGGCUCCAUCUUAGUUGGGCUCUUCACUGGGCUACUUUCUGGCUCACAGUUGAGUUGACAUCUAUCCAGAUGUGACACUGAUCCAGACCUGCUGCACACAGUCACUGCACAGAGGCAAAAUAGGUGCUCCAGGACUGUGUCUUCACCCGCUAGCUACAGUCAAGUGUUGCUCACCCAAAGUUAACCACGAAAUCUUUCCUGGAGUGACUCUGAGUCUCCUGUGCAGACGAUAGUCUGAAGGGUGGUGACUGAAGACAGUAUCAGCCAAAGAUAUUAUCCAGAAGCAGUUUGCGUUCAAGUGAUCCUGCCAAAAUCACUGUAUGGAAGCUCAGAUAACAGACAACCUCUCUUUCCAAUAGAAGAAAGCCCUUUUUCUUUGCCAGUGAAACUGUGAGACAGACAUUUCAUCAGCUCAGAUCUACUGGCUGCAGUUCAGUCAAUCUGCUCUGGUUCUCGAGGUUAUAUCACCAGCAAGCUGAACUGACGUCCAGAAUCAAGAGCUGAACUCUCCUUGACACUACAGAAGAAAUCAGUUCUACAAUAAGGAGCUGGCUGUCCUGGUGCUGAAAGUGCUCGGCCUCCACUGGAACAUCCACCAGAGAAUUUGGCUCAAGAGAAAUUGUUGCACAUGAAGAUUUCCGAGCAAUCCUUUCUCACUGCUCUGUUGGAAUGGCUCAUCCAUUGAAGACAACUGUGAGCCCAGAUAUCAAUAAGACCCCUUUUUGUUUUAACCACUGACUACGCACAAACUCCGUACCUCAUCCACAACCUCACCAUCAGAGAAAUAAAAGGAAUAGUGAGUAGAGACUUCAUCCGCUCGGUUCUUUGUUCUGGGCUCAUCUCCAUGUCUUGUAUCCAACAGAUGUUUUCAGACAUGGUAUUGCAAGACGUGAUGCAGAGUUUAUAUCCUCGGCAGACAGGCCAGUUAUUGUUCUCAUAGCAGCAGAUGUCUGAAUCAGCUCAAGCAAGUGAGUUCCUGGGUGACUGCACCUUUCAUUUCUGCUCACCUGUCUUCUGCUUUUCCUCCCAUCUGCACAUCAGCUUGGAAUUAUCUUAAGAUGAAGACCGCCCUCAGCAGGAGCCUGUACAAAGCUCAGCCUAUUUAUAGGCACAUCUCUGCUUGGGACUAUCCUGUGCUACUGUGACACACACAGUAAGCUCUUUAUUAAUAAGUAGAUAAGAAGCUCCUUAGGUCUUAGGUCACUUGUACUGCAUCCCAGUUCGGGAAUUAUCCCACAGGUGAGCUCCCUUUCCAAUCACAUAUGUUCCCACCAGCAACUCCCGCAGUCACUUACACAUGAAAAUAAUAUUAGGAAAACAUUUACUGUAAGCUUUAGCUUAAUUUAGUAGAAUUUAGCAGCUGGAAAUUACAAGGAGGAGCCAGCACCUUGCAAAGAGCCAGCACUCUGCAGACCACCAGCAAGUGCUCCACAGACCUCAGCCUGGAAAGUGAUGAGACAGAUGGAAGUCAUUAUUUUGUUUUGAACAAAAUACCAUCUGGGGCCAACAUUUGCUGUCUGUUACUUCUGAGUGAAUCCAGAGAAACUCCAUCAUGUUCCUUAAUAAUCAGUUCUGGGACCAAUCUUAUUAAAUAUUUUCCUUAAUGAACUUGGCAGAAAAAAGGCAGGCGCCUGGUCAUGAGAUCUGCUGAUGACACAAACUUGAGUGACUGCAUUGCUAUUGCGGAGAAGGAUACAAAUGUGAUAUGGGAAGAGCUGUGGAUGACCUUUAAGGAAAGCCGAGUGAGAGAAGUGGGUGUGCUUUGACAGUAACAAAGAGUAGGAGACUAGACUUAGAGAUUGAGGUAGAAAAAAAUGACCUGAAAUAGUCUAUUUGAUAGAAUCAUGGAAUGGCGUAGGUUGGAGGGGACCUUAAAGAUCAUCAAGGUCCAACCCCCUGCCAUGGGUUGGUUGCUACCCACCAGAUCAGGCUGCCCAGGGCCCCAUCCAACUGGCCUUGAGCACCUCCAGGGAUGGGGGACCCACAGCUUGCCUAUUUGAACACAGUGUCCUUGAAAAGAACAACUGCAGUUGUACUGUAUCUCAGGUGAGAUGUUUCCAGUUGAGACAGGGAAGUGUUAAAUACCAUUGCACAGAGAGUAGCUGGGACAUCACCUGAGUAACUAUGAAGUUCUGGUCACCCAGAUUCAAGAAAGAUUAACUGAAAGUUGAAGAGGUGCAUCUCUAGAAAGGCAGCUAAAGUGCCUGUUUUGUUCAGAGGAGGAAAACAAGCAGAUCCAUAGGCUGCAUCUGUACUAAUUUACUGAAAUUACCUAGAUGGUUCUCCGACAGUGGGGUCCACCAGGAAGGAAUUGGGCAGCCUGGUCUGGUGGUUGGCAACCCUGCACAUAGCAGGGGGGUUGAAACUGGAUGAGCAUUGUGGUGCUUUUCAACCCAGGCCAUUCUGUGAUCCUAUGAUUCCAUGAUUUUAUGAUCCUAUGAUCCUAUGAUUCCAUGAUUCUAUGAUCCUAUGAUUCUAUGCCCUUCCAUUACAGGGCUUUGUGCAUCUUUGCCUUCAACAUGGUGACAUUCUCCCAGUAUUCCAGCGUGGACUAUUUUUAUGCUCUGCGUUACGUUGAUGUGACUGUAAAGAACCAUGUUCUCAAAGAACUCUGGGUUUAUACUGAGCUCAGAAGUCCUGUCUGAAAACUGGUUCUUUAGCUAGCAGGUAUGAUGCCAGUCUUCAUUUGAGGACUUCCGUCCAUGCCUUUUUCAUUGGUCUUUUCUUCUACACACAUGUUGGAAGCACAAAUCAUUUUUGAAGGGUGUGAAAUGCAGCAGCUUUACACUGUUCAGAAGCAAUACUUUGGUUUUACUGCAAACUUUAAUGUAGAUGGCUUGGAGCAACUAUUAGAGUUACAAGCAGAAUAAAUCAACCAGCCAAGUGUCUCUGGUUGCCCAAAUCUCAGAUUUCACAGCAAAAAAAAGCCAAUGUGUGGUGCCACGUGAGAGUGGGAUCCCCUACCUAAGGAAAGUGAUGUAAUCUGUGGAGCUACAAUAGCAAUAAUCUUCUUCGUCAUCCUGUUUCUGUGAGCACUAGCAAUGAAGCAUUAUUAUUUUUCACAACACACUGACUUUUACCAAAGAGUGGGAAUUUCUUCAUUAAUACUGGGGAUACUCCAUUGAUUUUAGAGAAAAGGCUCUUUAUACCUAUACAGAACGCGAGCCAGAAAUUAAAAUUAUAGUAAUUAACUCCAAAACAUAUUUUCCUGCUUAGAAAUCCCAUUCAAGUGCAUAAAUAUCAUUUGAGAAUUACAACACUUGCACAUUGCAUAUCUGCACAUCACAGAUGAUGUAUUCCUCCAAUGCAUGGCUCUACUCGUGCUACAGAUGAGCACAGUCUGAGCAGCCAGCUGGGUGGAUGGCCAGAGGAGAAGUGUCAUUUGGUGCAUCCAUGGAGCUCAACCAGCUGUCUGCCCCAAUGGUGAAAAGCAUCUCUUCCCUUUGCGACUUCUGGCGUGGAUCAGAGAGCCACUAGAACUGGAAAGAUACUGAAUUUCAGCUGGGACACACACAAGCUGCUAAUUGCAUCUCCGCUUCCUACUGCUGGUUGUGCAGGGUGUGGGGUUAAUUCACAGCACAGAGGGAUGAGACAGAGCAAGAAUUCCGUGAGAGAUGAUCUUCUAAAUCAUGACUGACUGCUCUGCAACAGUGAUUAAGGGCCCCAGGAAGAACCAGAGAGCCACUGCAGUAGACCCCCUUUAGAUACUGAAAGGCAUCUAUCAAGUCUCUUCUCCAGGCUGAACAUCCCCAGCUCUCUCAGCUCAUCUUUGUAGCGGAGGUGUUCCAUCCCUUGGAUCACUCUUGUGGCCCUCCACUGGAUGCACUCCAACAGCUCCAUGUCUCUCCUGUACUGAGGACUCCACAUCUGGACGCAGUGCUCCAGGUGAGUUCUCAAAGCACAGAGCAGAGGGGCAGGAUCAACUCCCUCGCCCUGCUGGCCAUGCUGCUUUAGAUGCAGCCCAGGUUGGCUGUCUGGGCUGGUAGAUAGGGAAGCAGUAAGAGUAAGUCAUGAAUUUGGAAGACAGUGGUAUGGAUAAGGAGGGGGAAAAAAAACAGAACUGGAGAUAGAAUGUCAGGCAGGUCAAUAGAAAAGGAGUUUUUAGGGGUUAUAUUAAAUAUAUAUAUAUAUUAAAAAUUAGGGAACCUGCAUCUAAACAUUUGUUGGGGAUUAUCACAACCCAAAGGGCUGCCAGUGGCACAGAAAGCCUCUAGAAGCAUCCCAUAUCUGCAGCCUACACAGUGCAGAAUUUAUGGAUCCACACUGAGCCAUCCAAUAGCCACAGACGUUUGGCUCCAUGAAAUAAGCUAGUGACCGUUUUCCAACCCUGAGUGUACUGACAUGUCCCACGUCCCUGCAGCUGAGCUCUCUUUCUUUCUAUCAGGUAGCUGGGUGUCGUUUCUCUCCUGAGCCUGAGACUUCCUACUGGCUUGAGAGUCACAUCCAGCAUCUCUUCAAUCUCCUUGCAAAACCACGCAUUAAUUAGCCUGUCCUGGAGCUUGACACCUUGUUCUCCCACAGGGACAUGGCCCCACUGGACUGUAGCUGAACUCUUCCAGGAUGCAUGACAGAUGCAGCACAUACGAUCCUGCCAAGAUAGCCUUUGCAAAGGGUCCCUGAAAGCACUAUUACUCUGGUUGCCUCCCUGUUGCCCCACAAUACUUCACUCACUAGCACAGGACAAACAGCAGCUCCUGUAAGCCAGGAAGAUGGAGUCACUCACCAGCCUUUGAGCUGAGCAUUAAACAUCUGGCUGUUGAUGCGAGAAUGAAUAAGCUAGAAGGCUGAUGUGAACCAGAUUGUUUGCACUCUGUCCAAAAAAUUCCUUCACAAGCUCCCAGUGUCGACUUUUGGCUUAUCUUUCACACAUAGGCUCUCUGGGCUCUUUCUGGGAAACCAGGAGAAGUGUGGAUUCACACCAGUGGAGAAGCAGGAUUUGUCAUGCUCAUUUGUGUUAGGCUUCGUCUGAGCAGACAGGUUUGGGCUUGAUUGAGGACACACUCCUCCGUGUCUCUGAAAUGAAGCAAGGCACUCUCCCAAGAUCCAAACCAAGUGGAGCAGGGAGGGAAGGGAAAAAGAAAAAGGCAUGUGAAAAUGACCCUGCUUCCUCCAGGUCCAGGGAGGGAGUGCAGAGUGGAUGAAAGAGGGAAGGAGCCAGAGGUUGGCUCGAGUUGCGUUGGAAACUCCUGCGCACUGUGCCUUGUUUGCCAUGGCCAAAGCCUGGCAAUCACCAUUUGUAUCCACUUCAUCCACUGUUUGACCAGAGGAUUAGUGCAGAGUCUGGCCAUUAGUUUACUAUUGAGUCCUGAUCCCUCUCUGACUGCGAGUCUUUUCUUCCAAGUCUUCUUCCUCAACUACAAAUGAAUAAAAUCGGCCCUGGCCAAGCAGGAGGGAACACCAGGUCUGCCACCAUCUCCACCGGGCAGCACCUUGCACUUGGCUCUGUUGAGCUUCAUUAGGUUCACGUGGGCCCACUUUUCAAGCCUGUCCACGUCCCUCUGGAUGCCAUCCCUUCCUUCUACUGUGUCAACGGCACCACUCAGCUCAGUGCCACCAGCAAACUGCUGAGAGUGCACUCAAUCCCAUCAUUGAUGUCAAUGAUGAAGAUGUUGAAAAGCACCAGCCCCAAGACGGAUCCCUGGGGGACACCGCUCAUGACCAGCCUUCACCUGGACACACAGCCAUUGACUGCAACCCUCUGGCUGCAGCCAUCCAACCAACUCUUUAUCCACCCAAUAGCCCAGCCUUCAUAUCCAUAUCUCUCCAAUUUAGAGAUAAGGAUGUGGUGCAGGGCUAUGCCAAAGGCCUUGCACAAGUCCAGGUAGAUGACAUCAGCUGCCUUUCCUUUGUCCACCAGUGCUAUCACUUAAAUACUGAGUGGUCAAGAUAAGAAACUGUGAGAUUCCUUUGUAGCAAGAUCAGUUCAAAUUAGACGUUAAGAAGAACUCGGUAGCAGAGAGCAGGACUCUGGAAUCAGCUGUCUGAGGUCUCUGCAGUCUCCAACACUGCAAGCUUUUAAGGAGAAUCUCUUUAAGCACAGAGUUAAUAUCAACCUCUGCUGGGAAUGGCAUAGAUGGAGUUGUUUCCUGCUUAGACUAGAAAGAUAAAGCAUGUGAUCCUUCAGGAUGCCUUUCAGUUUUAUUCCUCGACAGUUUCACGAGAUUUCCUUUGAGGAUAGAACAAAGUGUUAUCAGCCUCCAUAAAACAGUGCAGAGAGAGCUAUGCUGCCUUUCUGGGAAGUCCAGCUGGACUUGAGGGAAUGGGAUUUAUCUCUGCUGUUUUCUGAGGAGCAUCUCUAGGCCACGUUCAGGACCAGAUGUACCCUCUGUACAGGCAGCCAUCACACAAAAGCAACUUUUGUGCACACAGAGGCCUCAACGAUGAGCUCAAAGAACGCAGUCCACAAGAGCCCAGCAUGACAUUGGAAGCACUGCAGGACAGCAACAGACAUUUUCUGCCUCCCAGUGCUGAGGAAAUGGCUUGAUUCUGCAAAUUCUGACCUCCAGCACAGGGAAAGAAUUGAGGUCCUACACUACUCCUCACAGAGUCCUUUUGGAAUUGUUAACAGACUAGCCAGGAAGAAAGAAAAAUUACUGUGCUAUAAUUUGAAGCAUGAAAGAAGACGAUGGAAACAGAGGGACCCCUCAAGACCUCUGAUCAAAAUGUUGCUGCCACAGGUACCCUGCCAUAUGUUCCCACUCACACCUUCAAUAUUAUUAAAAGUCUUUUCCAGAACUGCAUUCCUCUGAUGCCUCAAAGCCAUCUGCUGGUUUUUCCACUUCAAAAGUAGCCAUGGCCCAAUUUACAUCCAUUUACAUUUGUGCCUAAAAUGCUUCAGAGACCUGAAGCUUGAAUAGCUCCUCUCCCUCCUGUACGUGUAUGGAAAGAUCCCCUCUCCUGUCCAUCCUCAUAUAGGAAUUUUAUUCCUAUAUUGUACUCGAGAAACUCAGGUUUGGUGCCUAAAACUAAAGAAAAGGGUUGAAAAGGACCACAAUGAUCAUCUAGUUUUAACCACA
Long non-coding RNA from Gallus gallus (chicken), 7934 nucleotides. NCBI's taxonomy places the organism in Eukaryota, Metazoa, Chordata, Aves, Galliformes, Phasianidae. The record is from Ensembl.